This 348-nucleotide unclassified non-coding RNA is filed under the name soil metagenome. RNAcentral's name for it is "partial contains 5.8S ribosomal RNA, internal transcribed spacer 2, and large subunit ribosomal RNA". The stretch from base 1 to 120 matches the Rfam family "5.8S ribosomal RNA", at positions 35 to 154 of the family's 154-position model. The record is from RNAcentral.
GAUGAAGAACGUAGCGAAAUGCGAUAAGUAAUGUGAAUUGCAGAAUUCAGUGAAUCAUCGAGUCUUUGAACGCACAUUGCGCCCGCUGGAACUCCGGCGGGCACGCCUGUCCGAGCGUCAUUUCAACCCUCAGGCCCCCCUUCGCGGGCGGGCCUGGUGUUGGGGCCCGGCCGCUACCCUGCGGCCGUCCCCUAAAUUCAGUGGCGGCCUCGCCGUGAUCCCUUGCGUAGUAAUGCACCUCGCACCGGAGAGCGCCGUGGCCACGCCGUAAAACCCCCAAUUUUCAAUGGUUGACCUCGGAUCAGGUGGGAAUACCCGCUGAACUUAAGCAUAUCAAUAAGCGGAGGA